This 406-nucleotide ribosomal RNA is filed under the name uncultured bacterium. RNAcentral describes it as "partial 16S ribosomal RNA". It matches the Rfam family "Bacterial small subunit ribosomal RNA", at positions 30 to 526 of the family's 1533-position model. The record is from RNAcentral.
AUCGAACGCUGGCGGCAUGCUUUACACAUGCAAUUCGCACGAGUGGCGGACGUGUGAGUAAUGUAUCGGACCCUACCCAGUAGUGGGGGAUAACUGUUCGAAAGGGUAGGUGAUACCGCCUACUAUUCGAACGGACGUUGUGCGAUUAGCUGGUUGGUGGGGUCAAGGCUCACCAAGGCGACGAUCAGUAGCGGGUCUGAGAGGAUGAUGUGCCACACGGGGACGGAGACACGGCCAAGACUCCUACGGUAGGCAGCAGUGGGGAAUUUUGGAAAAUGGGCGCAAACCUGAUCCAGCCAUGCAGCGUGUCUGAAGAAGGCGUUCGGGUUGUAAAGGACUUUUGUCAGGGAAGCGGUACCUGAAGAAUAAGCACCGGCUAACUACGUGCCAGCAGCCGCGGUAAUUC